AUGGGGGACGAUGUGCACCCGCAACAAACUACCAACACUGGAGAGGAGCCCCUGGAUGUUAUCGGGCUCAGCCUAGAUGAGUGAGUUUAUGUGAAAAUGAGAAAUGACCGAGAGCUUCAAGGCAGAUCACAUGCUUAUGAUCAACAUUUAAAUAUGAUCUUGGGAGAUGAGGAAGAAACCGCGACUACUAUAGAAAUUGAUGAAGAAACAUACGAAGAGAUAUAUAAAUCAAGGAAACAGAAUAUUCCAAUGCUCUUUGUCCUGGGAGAUGGU
RNAcentral lists this long non-coding RNA (273 nucleotides) under Homo sapiens (human). RNAcentral's name for it is "non-protein coding lnc-PLXNC1-6:1". The record is from RNAcentral. Lineage: Eukaryota; Metazoa; Chordata; Mammalia; Primates; Hominidae.